GCCGUAGGGCGCGAGCGUUGUCCGGAUUUAUUGGGCGUAAAGAGCUCGUAGGCGGCUUGUCGCGUCGUUCGUGAAAACCCACAGCUCAACUGUGGGCUUGCGGUCGAUACGGGCAGGCUGGAGUUCGGUAGGGGAGACUGGAAUUCCUGGUGUAGCGGUGAAAUGCGCAGAUAUCAGGAGGAACACCGGUGGCGAAGGCGGGUCUCUGGGCCGAUACUGACGCUGAGGAGCGAAAGCGUGGGGAGCGAACAGG
Molecule: ribosomal RNA, 253 nt
Filed under: uncultured bacterium
Lineage: Bacteria
Description: partial 16S ribosomal RNA
Rfam family: Bacterial small subunit ribosomal RNA
Source: RNAcentral